CACCAGAGCCACAAGUGGCAAUCACGAUUAUUGGGCCUAAAGGGUUCGUAGCCUAUUCAAUAAAUCUUUUGUGAAAUUGUUGGCCUCAAUCUAACAAUGUGCAAAAGAAACUGUUGAGUUUGAGACCAGGAAGAGGCAGAAGUAUUCUAAGGGGAGUGGUAAAAUAUUAUAAUCCUUAGAAGACUACCUAUGGCGAAGGCAUCUGUCUAGAAUGGGUCUGACGGUGAGGAACGAAGGCUAGGGGAGCGAUCCGGAUUAGAUACCCCCGUA
Molecule: ribosomal RNA, 270 nt
Filed under: uncultured prokaryote
Description: partial 16S ribosomal RNA
Rfam family: Archaeal small subunit ribosomal RNA
Source: RNAcentral